RNAcentral lists this long non-coding RNA (829 nucleotides) under Rattus norvegicus (Norway rat). RNAcentral describes it as "long non-coding RNA NONRATT024803". The record is from RNAcentral. Lineage: Eukaryota; Metazoa; Chordata; Mammalia; Rodentia; Muridae.
GGGUUAUCAUAGCUGCUCUUGCAGAAAACAAAUCUCCAUUGGGCUUAUAACAUGAUGCAUUUAAGUCUUAAUUGGGAAAGUACAUACACACAUUUCAUUUAUGCAGUUAUAUGUAAGAUAAAUCUGUGUGCAUAACUGAACCUGCAUAGACCCUUUCUGGAAAGGCAUAUAACUUGAAAUGGCAGUGACCUGUGGGGGAAGGUCUCAGGAGCUGUGGUAAGAGGAUGUGUUUGUUGCCGUGUAUUGUUUGCCUCUCACAGUGCCUGUCCAAUGGAAAGACAUUUGCAUCUUCAUGGUUCUACGUCAUUUUGAGUUGAUUAUGUUAACUGGAUGAAAAUAUUUGUGUAGCAUCAGUUUGUUCUAGCUGUUAUGACCUAAUCUGCCAAUGACAUAUGUAUUGUGUCUUACAGAGUUACAUCUGUUUGGGAGAACAGUCUUCAGAUUACUACAGUUUCUAGUUUCAUAGGAGCAUGGCUUGGAGCAUUUCCUAUUCCACUGGAUUGGGAAAGACCAUGGCAGGUGUGGCCCAUCUCCUGUACAUUCGGAGCGACCUUUGGCUACGUGGCUGGCCUGGUUAUCUCGCCACUCUGGAUAUACUGGAAUAGAAAGCAACUUACAUACAAGAACAAUUAAGAGGAGAAGGGAGAGAAGUGAUUUCUUUGUGCAGAGUCCAUAAGGGCUGUGCAGAAGUGUACAUGGUCAAAGCCGAGCCGUCCAUUGACAGCACUGUGGUUUUCUAAAUGUCAUUUCAACAUGAUGUGAUUGUAGCUUUUUAACUAUGAAACCCCUGAGAGAUUGUACCUUCUAGUUGAAAUAAAGUAUUUAUAGU